CCUUGUCCGCUGGUUGGCAUGGCCUUUGGUGCAGCCGCGGCGGCUCCUGUUCCUGCCUAGCUCUGUCCCCUCUUUCCCUCCCCACCAGAUCCUGGAGUUCGGCCACCAUGGCUUUACUCACUGAGGCUGCCCGGCUCUUGGGAGCUAAGAAUGCAUCCUGUGUUGUUUUUGCUGCCCGGCAUGCCAGUGCUUCCUCCACGAAUUUGAAAGACAUAUUGGCUGAUCUGAUACCUAAAGAGCAGGCCAGAAUUAAGACCUUCAGGCAGCAACAUGGCAAGACAAUGGUGGGCCAAAUCACUGUGGACAUGAUGUAUGGUGGCAUGAGAGGCAUGAAGGGAUUGGUAUAUGAAACAUCAGUUCUUGAUCCUGAUGAGGGCAUCUCUUUCCGAGGAAUUAGUAUCCCUGAAUGCCAGAAAGUGCUGCCCAAGGUUAAGGGAGGGGAAGAACCCCUCCCAUAGGGCUUAUUUUGGCUGCUGGUAACUGGACAGACCCCAACAGAGGAACAGGUAUCUUGGCUGUCAAAAGAGUGGGCAAAGAGGACAGCUCUGCCUUCCCAUGUGGUCACCAUGCUGGACAACUUUCCCACCAAUCUACACCCCAUGUUUCAGCUCAGUGCAGCCAUUACAGCCCUCAACAGUGAAAGUAAAUUUGGGCAUAUGCAGAGGGUAUCAACCAAACCAAAUACUGGGAGUUGAUUUAUGAAGACUGUAUGGAUCUGAUCGCAAAGCUACCUUGUGUUGCAGCAAAAAUCUACCGGAAUCUCUACUGGGAAGGCACCAGUAUUGGGGCCAUUGACUCUAAGCUGGACUGGUCCCACAAUUUCACCAACAUGUUAGGCUAUACGGAUGCACAGUUCACUGAGCUCAUGCGCCUGUACCUCACUAUCGACAGUGACCAUGAGGGUGGCAAUGUAAGUACCCAUACCAGCCACUUGGUGGGCAGUGCCCUUUCAGACCCUUACCUGUCCUUUGCAGCAGCCAUGAAUGGGUUGGCAGGGCCUCUACAUGGACUAGCAAAUCAGGAAGUGCUUGAUUGGCUAGCACAACUACAGAAGGAAGUUAGCAAAGAAGUAUCAGAUGAGAAGUUACAAGACUACAUCUGGAACACACUCAACUCAGGACGGGUUGUUCCAGGCUAUGGUCAUGCAGUACUAAGGAAGACUGAUCCACGAUACACCUGUCAGCGAGAGUUUGCUCUGAGAACAUCUGGCUACUGACCCAUGUUUAAGCUGGGUUGCUUCAACACCUAUUACAAGAUUGUGGGCCCCAAUAUCCUCUUGCGAACAG
Microcebus murinus (gray mouse lemur) is the source of this 1286-nucleotide non-coding RNA. Lineage: Eukaryota; Metazoa; Chordata; Mammalia; Primates; Cheirogaleidae. The record is from RefSeq and is a predicted model, not a curated record.